This 497-nucleotide ribosomal RNA is filed under the name uncultured bacterium. RNAcentral's name for it is "partial 16S ribosomal RNA". It matches the Rfam family "Bacterial small subunit ribosomal RNA", at positions 28 to 507 of the family's 1533-position model. The record is from RNAcentral.
GAUCAACGCUGGCGGCGUGCCUAAUACAUGCAAGUCGAGCGAACAGAUAAGGAGCUUGCUCCUUUGACGUUAGCGGCGGACGGGUGAGUAACACGUGGGUAACCUACCUAUAAGACUGGGAUAACUUCGGGAAACCGGAGCUAAUACCGGAUAACAUUUGGAACCGCAUGGUUCUAAAGUGAAAGAUGGUUUUGCUAUCACUUAUAGAUGGACCCGCGCCGUAUUAGCUAGUUGGUAAGGUAACGGCUUACCAAGGCAACGAUACGUAGCCGACCUGAGAGGGUGAUCGGCCACACUGGAACUGAGACACGGUCCAGACUCCUACGGGAGGCAGCAGUAGGGAAUCUUCCGCAAUGGGCGAAAGCCUGACGGAGCAACGCCGCGUGAGUGAUGAAGGGUUUCGGCUCGUAAAACUCUGUUAUUAGGGAAGAACAAACGUGUAAGUAACUGUGCACGUCUUGACGGUACCUAAUCAGAAAGCCACGGCUAACUACGUG